This is a small nucleolar RNA of Mesocricetus auratus (golden hamster), 126 nucleotides long. Lineage: Eukaryota; Metazoa; Chordata; Mammalia; Rodentia; Cricetidae. The record is from Ensembl.
CUAACUUGUGUGAGUUUUUGUUUAACUUGUAACCAAAGCCUUAAAGUUAGGUACAAAAACAAAUCCUCCUUUGCAACAUAGAACCCACUGCUCGGCAUGAGUUUUGAUAUUCAUAUAAAGAAUGUG